Gossypium arboreum is the source of this 121-nucleotide microRNA precursor. It matches the Rfam family "MIR7504 microRNA precursor family". Lineage: Eukaryota; Viridiplantae; Streptophyta; Magnoliopsida; Malvales; Malvaceae. The record is from Rfam.
AAUAGUUUUAUGCCACAUCAGUAUUCUUAUCCUGAAUUUCAGGAUUUUAUCUUGAAAAAAUAAAAUUCAAAUUAAAAUCCUGAAAUUCAGGAUAAGAAUACUGAUGUGGCAUAAAACUAUU